ACUGGUGUUGAAGAAGCUAUCUCUCGUGAAGAAGAAGAGUUGAGAGUAGAAAGUGCAAAGUUAAUUAGUGAAUUAUUAUCCCAAUCAAUGGAAAAGACAAAUAACAACUGAUAUAAUAAUUAUUACAAUACAUGUAUACUGCUAUAGUUAUCAAUAAUAAUUUUAUGAAAGUAGAUGUUUCUAUUGCCUGAA
Molecule: long non-coding RNA, 192 nt
Organism: Amphimedon queenslandica
Lineage: Eukaryota; Metazoa; Porifera; Demospongiae; Haplosclerida; Niphatidae
Exons: 2
Source: RefSeq, a predicted model, not a curated record